AUAGGUAUGCUUAGGGAGGAGCUUGCGUCACAUUAGUUAGUUGGUGGGGUAAAGGCCUACCAAGACUAUGAUGUGUAGCCGGGCUGAGAGGUUGAACGGCCACAUUGGGACUGAGACACGGCCCAAACUCCUACGGGAGGCAGCAGUAGGGAAUUUUCGGCAAUGGAGGAAACUCUGACCGAGCAACGCCGCGUGAACGAUGAAGUAUUUCGGUACGUAAAGUUCUUUUAUUAGGGAAGAAUAAAUGAUGGAAAAAUCAUUCUGACGGUACCUAAUGAAUAAGCCCCGGCUAACUAUGUGCCAGCAGCCGCGGUAAUACAUAGGGGGCAAGCGUUAUCCGGAAUUAUUGGGCGUAAAGGGUGCGUAGGCUGUUAAAUAAGUUUAUGGUCUAAGUGCAAUGCUCAACAUUGUGAUGCUAUAAAAACUGUUUAGCUAGAGUAAGAUAGAGGCAAGUGGAAUUCCAUGUGUAGUGGUAAAAUGCGUAAAUAUAUGGAGGAACACCAGUAGCGAAGGCGGCUUGCUGGGUCUUUACUGACGCUGAGGCACGAAAGCGUGGGGAGCAAACAGGAUUAGAUACCCUGGUAGUCCACGCCGUAAACGAUGAGUACUAAACGUUGGGUAAAACCAGUGUUGAAGUUAACACAUUAAGUACUCCGCCUGANUAGUACGUACGCAAGUAUGAAACUUAAAGGAAUUGACGGGACUCCGCACAAGCGGUGGAUCAUGUUGUUUAAUUCGAAGGUACCCGAAAAACCUCACCAGGUCUUGACAUGCUUCUGCAAAGCUGUAGAAACACAGUGGAGGUUAUCAGUUGCACAGGUGGUGCAUGGUUGUCGUCAGCUCGUGUCGUGAGAUGUUGGGUUAAGUCCCGCAACGAGCGCAACCCUUAUUGUUAGUUGCCNNCACGUAAUGG
Molecule: ribosomal RNA, 913 nt
Filed under: Candidatus Phytoplasma asteris-related phytoplasma
Lineage: Bacteria; Bacillati; Mycoplasmatota; Mollicutes; Acholeplasmatales; Acholeplasmataceae
Description: bacterial SSU rRNA
Rfam family: Bacterial small subunit ribosomal RNA
Source: RNAcentral